This 492-nucleotide ribosomal RNA is filed under the name uncultured bacterium. RNAcentral describes it as "partial 16S ribosomal RNA". It matches the Rfam family "Bacterial small subunit ribosomal RNA", at positions 29 to 507 of the family's 1533-position model. The record is from RNAcentral.
AGUGAACGCUGGCGGUAGGCCUAACACAUGCGAGUCGAACGGCAGCACAGUAAGAGCUUGCUCUUACGGGUGGCGAGUGGCGGACGGGUGAGGAAUACAUCGGAAUCUACUUUUUCGUGGGGGAUAACGUAGGGAAACUUACGCUAAUACCGCAUACGACCUACGGGUGAAAGCAGGGGAUCUUCGGACCUUGCGCGAUUGAAUGAGCCGAUGUCGGAUUAGCUGGUUGGCGGGGUAAAGGCCCACCAAGGCGACGAUCCGUAGCUGGUCUGAGAGGAUGAUCAGCCACACUGGAACUGAGACACGGUCCAGACUCCUACGGGAGGCAGCAGUGGGGAAUAUUGGACAAUGGGCGCAAGCCUGAUCCAGCCAUACCGCGUGGGUGAAGAAGGCCUUCGGGUUGUAAAGCCCUUUUGUUGGGAAAGAAAAGCAGCAGGUUAAUACCCCGCUGUUCUGACGGUACCCAAAGAAUAAGCACCGGCUAACUUCGUG